GACGAACGCUGGCGGCGUGCUUAACACAUGCAAGUCGAAGGUAGUGGCGAAAGGGUGAGUAACACGAGAGGAACCUGCUCUCCUCUUUGGUAGAAGACUGGGAAAAUGGGGCGAAUACUGGAUGGAUUGGGGUGGGGUCGGUGGUGAUCAGCUUGUUGGGGGGGUGAUGGAGUAACAAGGCUGUGACGGGUAGCCGGCCUGAGAGGGGGGUCGGGCACAUUGGGACUGAGAUACGGCCCAGACUCCUACGGGAGGCAGCAGUGGGGGAUAUUGCAGAAUGGACGAAAGUCUGAUGCAGCGACGUCGUGUGGGGGAUGAAGGCCUUCGGGUUGUAAACUUCUUUCGCCCUCGGAAUGGUAGUGGGUCAAGAAGCGCCGGCUAACUACGUGCCAGCAGCCGCGGUAAUAC
Molecule: ribosomal RNA, 408 nt
Filed under: uncultured bacterium
Lineage: Bacteria
Description: partial 16S ribosomal RNA
Rfam family: Bacterial small subunit ribosomal RNA
Source: RNAcentral